This is a ribosomal RNA of Carnobacterium maltaromaticum LMA28, 2935 nucleotides long. It matches the Rfam family "Bacterial large subunit ribosomal RNA". The record is from Rfam. Lineage: Bacteria; Bacillati; Bacillota; Bacilli; Lactobacillales; Carnobacteriaceae.
GGUUAAGUUAAUAAGGGCGCACGGUGGAUGCCUUGGCACUAAGAGCCGAUGAAGGACGGGGACUAACUCCGAUAUGCUUUGGGGAGCUGUAAGUAAGCUUUGAUCCAAAGAUUUCCGAAUGGGGGAACCCAGCAUUUUUUAUAGAAUGUUACUGCUAGCUGAAUACAUAGGCUAGUAGAGGUAGACGCAGAGAACUGAAACAUCUAAGUACCUGCAGGAAGAGAAAGAAAAUUCGAUUCCCUGAGUAGCGGCGAGCGAAACGGGAAGAGCCCAAACCAAAGAGCUUGCUCUUUGGGGUUGUAGGACACGACAUUAAGAGUCAUAAAUGAGUUUUGUAGAAGAAGCGAUCUGGAAAGGUCCGCCGAAGAGGGUAAAAGCCCCGUAAUCGAAACAAAGUUCACUCUGUUGUGUAUCCUGAGUACGGCGGAACACGAGAAAUUCCGUCGGAAUCCGCGGGGACCAUCCCGCAAGGCUAAAUACUCCUUAGUGACCGAUAGUGAACCAGUACCGUGAGGGAAAGGUGAAAAGAACCCCGGAAGGGGAGUGAAAGAGCUCCUGAAACCGUGUGCUUACAAAUAGUUAGAGCCCGUUAAUGGGUGAUAGCGUGCCUUUUGUAGAAUGAACCGGCGAGUUACGAUUACAUGCGAGGUUAAGUUGAUAAGACGGAGCCGUAGCGAAAGCGAGUCUGAAUAGGGCGAAUGAGUAUGUGGUCGUAGACCCGAAACCAAGUGACCUACCCAUGUCCAGGUUGAAGGUGCGGUAAUACGCACUGGAGGACCGAACCCACGUAUGUUGAAAAAUGCGGGGAUGAGGUGUGGGUAGCGGAGAAAUUCCAAUCGAACUUGGAGAUAGCUGGUUCUCUCCGAAAUAGCUUUAGGGCUAGCCUCGGAAUUAAGAAUCAUGGAGGUAGAGCCACUGUUUGGACUAGGGGCCCUUCUAGGGUUACCGAAUUCAGAUAAACUCCGAAUGCCAUUGAUUUAUAUCCGGGAGUCAGACUGCGAGUGAUAAGAUCCGUAGUCGAAAGGGAAACAGCCCAGACCACCAGCUAAGGUCCCAAAGUUACUAUUAAGUGGAAAAGGAUGUGGGGUUGCUUAGACAACUAGGAUGUUGGCUCAGAAGCAGCCAUCAUUUAAAGAGUGCGUAAUAGCUCACUAGUCGAGUGACCCUGCGCCGAAAAUUUACCGGGGCUAAAUAGUACACCGAAGCUGUGGAUAGAACCUUAGGGUUCUAUGGUAGGAGAGCGUUCUAAGGGCGUCGAAGCUAGACCGUGAGGACUAGUGGAGCGCUUAGAAGUGAGAAUGCCGGUAUGAGUAGCGAAAGACGGGUGAGAAUCCCGUCCACCGUAUGACUAAGGUUUCCUGGGGAAGGCUCGUCCUCCCAGGGUUAGUCGGGACCUAAGCCGAGGCCGAUAGGCGUAGGCGAUGGACAACAGGUUGAUAUUCCUGUACCAGUUUCUUUUGUUUGAACAAUGGAGGGACGCAGGAGGCUAAGAAAUGCGCACUGUUGGAUAUGUGCGUCUAAGCAAUGAGUCUUGAGGUGAGUUAAAUGCUUGCUUCUGUACGGACAAGUUGUGAUGGGGAGGGAAAUUACAGUACCGAAGUUUCUGAUGUCACACUGCCAAGAAAAGCUUCUAGUUAGAAAGAAAUUGCCCGUACCGCAAACCGACACAGGUAGUCGAGGAGAGUAUCCUAAGGUGUGCGAGAGAACUCUCGUUAAGGAACUCGGCAAAAUGACCCCGUAACUUCGGGAGAAGGGGUGCUGAUCGAAAGAUCAGCCGCAGUGAAUAGGCCCAAGCGACUGUUUAUCAAAAACACAGGUCUCUGCAAAAUCGAAAGAUGACGUAUAGGGGCUGACGCCUGCCCGGUGCUGGAAGGUUAAGAGGAUUGGUUAGCUUCGGCGAAGCUAAGAAUUGAAGCCCCAGUAAACGGCGGCCGUAACUAUAACGGUCCUAAGGUAGCGAAAUUCCUUGUCGGGUAAGUUCCGACCCGCACGAAAGGCGUAACGAUUUGGGCACUGUCUCAACGAGAGACUCGGUGAAAUUAUAGUACCUGUGAAGAUGCAGGUUACCCGCGACAGGACGGAAAGACCCCAUGGAGCUUUACCUUCUCGAGGUUUGUGUGGUGGACCCCUUUAAAAUGUCCAAGCCCCCCCUUUUUGUGAGGGGGGGCCCCUUGGUGGGGAUUAUUCCCCCCUUGUUUUUUAGACCCUCUUUUAAACCCCCCCCCCUAUAUCUGGGGGGGGGAGAACCUUUUCAGGGGGGGCGGUUUGGGUUGGGGGCGUUGCCCUCUUAAAAAAUAAAAGGGAGGCGGUCCUAAUGUUUCCUUAAGAAUGGUUGGAAAUCAUUUGGUAGGAUGAUAAAGGCAGUAAUGGAACUUGACUUCGAAGACCUUCAAAGUCGAGCAGGUAUGAAAUGUCGGGUUUUAGUGAUCCGGUGGUUCAGGAUGGAAGGGCCAUCGCUCAACGGAUAAAAGCUGCCCUGGGGAUAACAGGCUUAUCUCCCCUCAAGAGUCCACAUCGACGGGGAGGUUUGGCACCUCGAUGUCGGCUCAUCGCAUCCUGGGGCUGUAGUCGGUCCCAAGGGUUGGGCUGUUCGCCCAUUAAAGCGGUACGCGAGCUGGGUUCAGAACGUCGUGAGACAGUUCGGUCCCUAUCCGUCGCGGGCGCAGGAAAUUUGAGAGGAGCUGUCUUUAGUACGAGAGGACCGGGAUGGACACACCGCUGGUGUACCAGUUGUUCUGCCAAGAGCAUCGCUGGGUAGCUAUGUGUGGAAGGGAUAAACGCUGAAAGCAUCUAAGCGUGAAGCCCCCCUCGAGAUGAGAUUUCCCAUCACGUAAGUGAGUAAGACCCCUGAGAGAUGAUCAGGUAGAUAGGUUGGAAGUGGAAGUACAGCGAUGUAUGGAGCGGACCAAUACUAAUCGGUCGAGGACUUAACCAA